AGUGAACGCUGGCGGUAGGCCUAACACAUGCAAGUCGAACGGCAGCACAGUAAGAGCUUGCUCUUACGGGUGGCGAGUGGCGGACGGGUGAGGAAUACAUCGGAAUCUACUUUUUCGUGGGGGAUAACGUAGGGAAACUUACGCUAAUACCGCAUACGACCUACGGGUGAAAGCAGGGGAUCUUCGGACCUUGCGCGAUUGAAUGAGCCGAUGUCGGAUUAGCUAGUUGGCGGGGUAAAGCCCACCAAGGCGACGGUUCGUAGAUGGUCUGAGAGGAUGAUCGGCCACACUGGAACUGAGACACGGUCCAGACUCCUACGGGAGGCAGCAGUGGGGAAUAUUGGACAAUGGGCGCAAGCCUGAUCCAGCCAUACCGCGUGGGUGAAGAAGGCCUUCGGGUUGUAAAGCCCUUUUGUUGGGAAAGAAAAGCAGCAGGUUAAUACCCCGCUGUUCUGACGGUACCCAAAGAAUAAGCACCGGCUAACUUCGUG
This 491-nucleotide ribosomal RNA is filed under the name uncultured bacterium. Its description in RNAcentral is "partial 16S ribosomal RNA". It matches the Rfam family "Bacterial small subunit ribosomal RNA", at positions 29 to 507 of the family's 1533-position model. The record is from RNAcentral.